Molecule: ribosomal RNA, 253 nt
Filed under: uncultured bacterium
Lineage: Bacteria
Description: partial 16S ribosomal RNA
Rfam family: Bacterial small subunit ribosomal RNA
Source: RNAcentral
UACGGAGGGUGCGAGCGUUGUCCGGAAUCACUGGGCGUAAAGGGCGCGUAGGCGGCGCGGGAAGUCAUCGGUGAAAGCUCAGGGCUCAACUCUGAGUCGGCCGGUGAUACUCUCGUGCUUGAGCACUGUAGAGGCAGGUGGAAUUCCGGGUGUAGCGGUGGAAUGCGUAGAGAUCCGGAAGAACACCGGUGACGAAGGCGGCCUGCUGGGCAGUAGCUGACGCUGAUGCGCGACAGCGUGGGGAGCAAACAGG